GACGAACGCUGGCGGCGUGCUUAACACAUGCAAGUCGAGCGGUAAGGCCCUUUCGGGGGUACACGAGCGGCGAACGGGUGAGUAACACGUGGGUGACCUGCCCUCAGCUCUGGGAUAAGCCUGGGAAACCGGGUCUAAUACCGGAUAUGACUCCAUGACGCAUGUUGUGGGGUGGAAAGCCUUGUGCGGCUGAGGAUGGGCCCGCGGCCUAUCAGCUUGUUGGUGGGGUGANGGCCUACCAAGGCGACGACGGGUAGCCGGCCUGAGAGGGCGACCGGCCACACUGGGACUGAGACACGGCCCAGACUCCUACGGGAGGCAGCAGUGGGGAAUAUUGCACAAUGGGCGAAAGCCUGAUGCAGCGACGCCGCGUGAGGGAUGACGGCCU
RNAcentral lists this ribosomal RNA (388 nucleotides) under uncultured bacterium. RNAcentral describes it as "bacterial SSU rRNA". It matches the Rfam family "Bacterial small subunit ribosomal RNA", at positions 28 to 417 of the family's 1533-position model. The record is from RNAcentral.